This 462-nucleotide ribosomal RNA is filed under the name uncultured bacterium. RNAcentral's name for it is "partial 16S ribosomal RNA". It matches the Rfam family "Bacterial small subunit ribosomal RNA", at positions 28 to 506 of the family's 1533-position model. The record is from RNAcentral.
GACGAACGCUGGCGGCGUGCUUAACACAUGCAAGUCGAACGGUAAGGCCCUUCGGGGUACACGAGUGGCGAACGGGUGAGUAACGCGUGAGUAACCUGCCCUUCACUCUGGGAUAACAGUUGGAAACGGCUGCUAAUACCGGAUAUUCAGCUCCUGUCGCAUGGUGGGGGUUGGAAAGUUUUGGUGGUGGAGGAUGGGCUCGCGUCCUAUCAGCUUGUUGGUGGGGUGAUGGCCUACCAAGGCGUCGACGGGUAGCCGGCCUGAGAGGGCGACCGGCCACAUUGGGACUGAGAUACGGCCCAAACUCCUACGGGAGGCAGCAGUGGGGAAUAUUGCACAAUGGGCGGAAGCCUGAUGCAGCAACGCCGCGUGCGGGAUGACGGCCUUCGGGUUGUAAACCGCUUUCAGCAGGGACGAAGCGCAAGUGACGGUACCUGCAGAAGAAGCACCGGCUAACUACGU